Molecule: transfer RNA, 53 nt
Filed under: Daboia russelii (Russell's viper)
Lineage: Eukaryota; Metazoa; Chordata; Lepidosauria; Squamata; Viperidae
Description: tRNA-Cys
Source: RNAcentral
GGCCCCGAUAAUGUCAGGCUGCAAAUCUGACCUCCGGCAGUUGCCCGGGGCUU